Molecule: long non-coding RNA, 1708 nt
Filed under: Parus major (Great Tit)
Lineage: Eukaryota; Metazoa; Chordata; Aves; Passeriformes; Paridae
Description: lncRNA (ENSPMJG00000005586.1)
Source: RNAcentral
GCGCGGCGCGGCGUAGUUUUAUUUUUAUGCAACUUGAGGAAGCCGGAUUCCCCCCCCCCACUCCUUCCCUCCCCCUGUAAAAUGCCCAGCUAUUUCUAGAAAAUUUGCGUCGCUGAAAUACUUUAAUCUGUGUGCUCUAUUUUAUUCUUUUAAAUAUUUUUUUUUUUCUUUUGCGUUUGUGAUUUUAUGAGCACAUAUUCCUCUUAGCGGCUAUGAAUUUCUAUGAAUUCUAAAUAAGCUUUUCUAGGGAUGAAACGUGCGGGGUAUUUUUACACGAGGAUUUCAACUUUUCGGUUGACAUAAUCUGAAGGUACCACAGCCUUUUCUGCGACUGUUCAAGUGCUUCCCUGCCCUGCAAGGAGUUAUCACAUUGCUUAAACCAGCCCUUUAUGCCAUCAUUUUUCUUUUUUUAUUCUUUUUUUAAGCCUAUAUGUUGCUCAGCUUCAGUGGAUGAUUUUCUUCUCCUCCAAACUGAAACGCUCUCAGGUUUUUCUGUGCUUCUCGGUUUGUUUUGAACCCGUAGGAAAAUAUUAAUACAGAGCAGUGAAAAAGAAACAGUGAUGCGUCUUCCGUUCAGGGGAGUCGGCAAACCUGUCCACUUCUAUGCCGGGAAGUACAGAGAGCAGAUCCAUAAUUCAGUGCAGGAGCAAAUGAAUUCACAGCGAUGCAUAGGAUGGGUAUUAUGUAACUUAAUAAGAAAUGUGGUUUUGAUCGUAGGAGCGGACGCUGCGCUUGUAGGUAUAAAUAUCAAAUCUAGCAGCCCUUCCAUGGGAGCCUGGCCGUGCAUGAGUGCAGGCUGGGGCUGUGCUCUGGUGAAGCCUCAUGGCGAUGUGCCUGCUCCGUUGAACCCCCUGUUUCUGUUUCAAAACCUCAGGAAUCAUUCCCAACAAGACCACUGCUCUGGCCACCAGCUGCUCUGGCAUGCAGGAUGUCUGUUCUACUUGUACAGAUCUUCUACAUAUGGCUGGUGUUAGUAAAACCAUCCAAGGAGAUGAACAUGGAGUGUAGUGUGGGUCUUGGCUCUCACAGAGCCUUUUUCACCUGAAACAUCAAACCUAAGAAGGUUACAUCUACCAGCUGCUUCUUCUGGGUGGACUACAUCAGUGUGCAGUGACAAAUCUUGGGGUCUGCUUCCAAAGCAAAAUGUGUCCCGAAAAGGAAAGGCCUCCCCAGUGCCUUUUCUGAGGCUGUCAUUGUAGACAUGGGGUUCAUACAUGAGCACACCCAGGAGACAAAACCCAGCAACUGUGCCCUUUGUGCUCACAGUCCAGAGCUGCACAGGUUGCUGACAAAACUGGGUACAAGCUGACUCUACCCAGGGCACAGGUAGAGAAAGGGUUUCUCACAGCACAGGGUGAUGCACACUCUCCCCAGAAACUCCAUAAAGUCAGAAAUUCUUUAGAAUGAUGCUGGAAAAAUUUGGCUUCUGAAGCUCAUUAGAAAGAGCUUGUGAUUUUGUCUAUUUUAGCAGUACCCCUAUGGCUCAACUCUUUGUCUUCCCUCUGAAGUUAAUGUAUGUGUUGCUUUAGGAUGUCAUUGGCUGCAAAGGAUUUGUCAUGUCUUCAGAUUCUUUAGGAAUGAGUAUGCUGAGCAUCUCUCAUGUAUUAUGGAGGGAUUUCUGUCCCAAGCAGACAAUAUCAGUGGGAUGGACUGGGAGUUGGGCUAAGAGACUCUCUUUUGGUGCUUGUUAGUGCUCUAUGGAUGCAAU